CGCGCGGAGGCCUGGGGCGCGCGGGCGCGGGGCGGCGGGCGCGCGCACCUCUCUCCGCCCCUACCUGGCCGUGACGCCGGCACAAUGGCGGCUCCCGUGCCCCCGCCGCGGCCUGUCACCCACCUGCUCUUUGACAUGGACGGCCUCCUUCUUGAUACCGAACGGCUGUAUUCGGUGGUGUUCCAAGAAAUAUGUGAUCGCUACGGAAAGAAAUACAGUUGGGACGUCAAGUCCCUUGUUAUGGGAAAGAAGGCAUCAGAGGCGGCACAGAUCAUAAUAGACGUCCUGCAGCUCCCGAUGACCAAAGAGGAGCUGCUGGAGGAAAGCCAGACGAAGUUGAAAGAGGUGUUCUCCACGGCCGCCCUGAUGCCAGGGGUGGAGAGACUGAUUCGCCAUCUGCGCCGGCACGGCGUGCCCCUGGCCGUGGCCACCAGCUCCAGCCGCGCAUCGUUUGACAUGAAGACCGGCAGACACCAGGCCUUCUUCGGCUUGUUUGACCACAUCGUGUUGGGGGAUGACCCCGAAGUGAGCAACGGGAAGCCACAUCCCGACAUAUUUCUAGUCUGUGCCAAGAGGUUUUCCCCUGCUCCGCCCACCCACCAGAAAGAACUUUGCAUGGUGUUGCCCCCUGAAGAUGGAAUUCAGCAUCAAAACCAGCUUGGUCUCCCUCAAAGAAACCGUUGACGUGCAAAAGACCUCUAGGAUGUAGCAUUUCAUCAUAUACUAGGGCUGCAGUGCACUCUGCAGAAUUGGACUUGAAAAAUGAAGAAGGUAGAUGGAGGUUAUAGUAAAUUUCUGUCACACUAAAAGUUUCCUGAUCCCACGGCCGUGGGGUUUGUUGGAAUGUUGCAUGUCCUUGAGGCACUGUUCACCAGGCUUGUGGGGCUGGAACACAUGGAGAACUCAUUUUGCUACGACAGGAGGUUGCCAGCCCUGGAACCCAAACAGGCGUCCAGAAGUACUUUGACAUCUUUCUCCCACAUCCAUGGUCACCAUAUUGCAAAAUGGUGGUCCCACAUUCAUAUUCUCAUCCUGGAUGCCAUGAUGUUUUCAUCAUGUUGACGUUCUUUGCCAUGCUGCAGGUUUUCAUGGCCUGGGACGAUGAGGGCCUCAGCAUUGUAGCAUCAGUUAGUAGAGACUCUUUCUCCCUGCCUUUGGUUUAUCAAAUGACUGACUCAGGAGCAGCGGCACACGGACCCCCAAGCAAAGGUCUCAGGUGGCAAUCCCUGGAAUGUUCUUGUUUCGAUGGUCCUGAGAGUUUGCAAUUAGGUUUAUAUACCUUGCCUUAAUGACUGAAGUGUCCAAAAUCAUAAAUUCAAACUGUAAUGGAAGAAAAUAAUAAUUUAUCUCAUGACUGCAGUAAACAUAGUCCAAUGUCUCAGAUUUAUCCCCCUGAUUAUUCUUUAAACCAGAAAAGAUAUGUAUCAACAUAGAAAUGGUCUUUUUUAUGGGGAGCCAAUUCCAUGACUGUAUGUACCAUUGAUUCUUGGUCACUGAUGCCACUUUCCUAUUCGUGGGACAAGGAUGUUUUCCACAAAGCUCUCCCCUAUAAGAUAAUGGCAGCUGAUGCCUGAGCAUCUGCAUCUGCAUCUUGAUAUGAAAGUUUCUACCCCUCUUAGAUGAGAGGUGGCCUGUGGUCCCCACAAUGGGAUCCAGUUCUUUCUGCCCAUUCAUGGAGUGACUUGGAGAACAGAAAGCUGGUUUGCUGGAGAACCACUCAGUAGAGAGCUGACUGUAACGCUGAUGCCCAGAGGAACCCUGCAAGAUGUGGGCUGAAGACAACAGAAGCAUGACAGCUUGGAUCCCCGAAUGACUGUGUGGACCAGAGACUUCCACUGCCCCAUGGCACAAGCCCUACACUGUGCAUGAGAGUGACCACGUCUGAGCCACCACGUUGGGUCCAUUUGUAGCUGCAGCUUACCUACUCUAAAGCACCACCUCUGGUAGCCAGGAUUCUGACUACGUGUUGGUUGAUGCUCGAACGGAUUUUUGAGCCACCAUCGAAUCAUUUCUGAGGUCCGUCUACCGAGAUCAAGUCCCAUAAAGCAGAUACUGUGCUGAUUGAAGCAUUCUGGAAACCGUGGGAUGGAAUGCAAACAGGACACAGUUGGACAAGAAAGGAUUCCAUAUACAGGAUAUACCGGUGGUACGCCUCAGAUUGGUAAGGGCAGUGGAGUUUUUACCUUUUCUCCUUUCAACGUUUUUAAAUGAGCCCGUGUUAUUAUUAUUAUUUUUUUUAAUCUUAAACAAGCUAGUUCCCCUCACUUUGUAAUGUCUGGGGUCACGGAUGACAGAAAUCGUCCGCACAGCAGACCAGCGUGGUUAGAACUCGUGUCCACGUAUGGAUGGUUCUCCGAGAAGGCUGCCUGAACCGUCAAGAUACUAUUUCUUAGCCGAUUGCAACUUGAAUUUAGUGGGAAAGAAGCCAGCCGGCUCUGAGUGUUGUUGGCACUCUGAGAAACCUCAGAUGCUGUGAAGAGGCAGGGGGAGUUCACAAAACGCAGGCCAUCCCUGGACAUCAGUGGCUCCCAGGGCCUAAGAGGAUCCUAAGUGAGAGCCUACAUCCACGUCUUGAUGUACAACAGGGGCCAUCCGUGGCCCUUGAACGUCACACAGCAAAUCUGGCCCCCCAGGUGUCCCGUGUUAAUAUGAUUAAUUCCUCUGGAAUGAACUUUGCGAUUGCACAUUUCAGCUCUGUAUUUACAAACCCCAAGCACAGAGUUUCCUAUUUCUGUUUCCUGUUCGUGCACCUGAGUGUCAUCGAUGCGGGUGAGCUCAGGGUAGCUCUGGAGUGGCCCCCAAGCACGUGGUGUUGGCGGGCACCUGGUUGCGGCGACAUCGCGGGCAACAUUCUUCAGGCGGUGUUUCUAAGCUCAGCUUUGCAAGGACGGAAGCCGAUCCAAUUUCAGUGACGGGAGCAACGGCCGGGGGGACAGGAGAACUCAUCUGCGCUCUGAAAGCCUGUUCCCAACACCGGGAACGUUUUCUCCGUGUCGACAAAUGGCCCCUGGGCUUCGCUGCAGGUCAGAUCCAAUUUUAAACUGUGGGUUCCCCACUUGCUACGUAUAUUUGGUGAGACAGA
Molecule: RNA transcript, 3082 nt
Organism: Prionailurus viverrinus (fishing cat)
Lineage: Eukaryota; Metazoa; Chordata; Mammalia; Carnivora; Felidae
Gene: PUDP
Gene name: pseudouridine 5'-phosphatase
Exons: 7
Source: RefSeq, a predicted model, not a curated record